AGGAAAGGAGGGGAGAAGGAAGGAGGGAGAGUAGAAAUAACCAACUGAGCAAUAGAGGACGUUUGACAUAUAAUUUCCUUCUAUACUUUGAGCCUGAUCUUUUCUCUCCCUCUCACACUUCCCUCUCUCUCUCUCUCUCUCUCUCUCUCUCUCUCUCUCUCUCUCUUCUUCUUCUUUCUUCUUCUAUCGGUAAGUCUUACACCACUACUUUGAUAGAGGGAUAGAAAGGGACGAGUAAAUGAUAUGUCUCUGAGAGCUGACAGCUCAAGGAACACAGAUGCAGAGUUGUUUCGCUUUUCUUCUCUCUGCAGUUGUCAACGGCUGCAUUUGCAUAUUUCUAAAGUCUACCAAAGAAAAUAGCCUGCAGCUAGAGUAACCUAGCCACUGUGCAUAUUGGAGACAGAAACAGAGAGGGAGAGGGAGGGAGUGCAGACAGUGAAAGACCAAACCAGGGAAGACAGGACCUGGAAAGUGAGAGAGAGUGAAAGAAAAGGUUGGAUGGAGCAUGGGAUCUGGGACAAUCCUGCUGCCCUCGUGGACUGGAGUUUAUAGUGCACCUCUUCUCUGCAGCCCUGAGUACAGAGAUAGACAGGGAGAGAUAGAGCAAAUGAGAGAAAAUAGGGAGAGAGAGGGGGAAAGGAAAAGACAGAGAGAGAGAGAGAGAGAGAGAGUGCAAAAUAAAAGAGAGAGAGAGAGAAAGAGAGAGAGAGAGGGAGCAAAAGCGAGUGAGAGAGCAAAAGAGAGAAGAGAAUGAGAGUAAAAAGAGAGAGAACAGAGGGAGAGAGGGCUAAAAUAUGUGCAUCAUAAGGACUCUUCAGCUUCCUUCAUGAAUAUCAAACAGUCGACCCUGGCCUGUUCCAUGCUGCGUCAACACAACACAUGAGAAACAUUACUGCUCUCCUCCCUUUGUACACACACAGCAAUAUGCAUAGAGUUGGUUCUCCUGACCACACCACCUGACCUGAUCAGGGAGGACUCUGGACCCUGGUUAGAGGCUAUAGGUCUCCUGGUCAGGGACGACUCUGGACCCUGGUUAUGGGCUAUAUGUCUCCUGGUCAGGGAGGACUCUGGACCCUGGUUAGAGGCUAUAGGUCUCCUGGUCAGGGAGGACUCUGGACCCUGGUUAGAGGCUAUAGGUCUCCUGGUCAGGGAGGACUCUGGACCCUGGUUAUGGGCUAUAUGUCUCCUGGUCAGGGAGGACUCUGGACCCUGGUUAUGGGCUAUAUGUCUCCUGGUCAGGGAGGACUCUGGACCCUGUUUAGAGGCUAUAGGUCUACUGGUCAGGGAGGACUCUGGACCCUGGUUCGAGGAUAUAGGUCUACUGGUCAGGGACGACUCUGGACCCUGGUUAUGGGCUAUAAGUCUCCUGAUGAGCGAAAACUCCUGGCCCUGUAUAUGUGUGAUGAGAGGGGUACCGAAGGCUAUUAUAGAGUGUGUCGGUGGUGUUCGCAUCAUGGCUACAUCAUCAUCAAUCAUUUAACAAAGGUCAUUAAACCAUUAUUAUUCUGUUUUGUCAACAGCCAUGAUACCAUGAUGAUGCAUGUUGCAUCCCUUACAGAAAAAACAUUUGUUUGGAAACCUUCACGUGAUCACGUUUUCACAUUUGUGGUUUCAUGUUGUCGCUUGUUGCUUUACACUUUGUAAGAAACCUCCUCUCUACCUAACCAAAGACAGUACAGUGUGAAGAUAGGCAGAAAUUGCUUCUCCAUUCGUAAACCCUGAUCACACUUGAACUCAUUGCGGCGUUGGCUGGCUAAGCUCAUGAGCAGAAACACGUCAUCGGGUGUAACGGUCGUCUCGUGCCGAACUGCCAUUGUGCAGGCCGUCAACUCAAAGGCCCUCCAUCAAUAUAAAGUUGUUUUUGACGAAAAUCAAAACGUGUCAGUUUGUCACUUUCAGGAGGUUGGGUGCGAUGUUUCAGUUUCAAUGACUCAAUAUUUUGGACAAAUACAGCCUACUGUAUGCUCUCGUUGGCUGGCCCUCACUUCAUACUCGUCACCAAACCCACUGGCUCCAGGUCAUCCACAAGACCCUGCUAGGUAAAGUCCCCCCUUAUCUCAGCUCACUGGUCACCAUAGCAUCACCCACCUGUAGCACACGCUCCAGCAGGUAUAUCUCUCUAGUCACCCCCAAAACCAAUUCUUUCUUUGGCCGCCUCUCCUUCCAGUUCUCUGCUGCCAAUGACUGGAACGAACUGCAAAAAUCUCUGAAACUGGAAACACAUAUCUCCCUCACUAGCUUUAAGCACCAGCUGUCAGAGCAGCUCACAGAUUACUGCACCUGUACAUAGCCCAUCUAUAAUUUAGCCCAAACAACUACCUCUUGCCCUACUAUAUUUAUUUUGCUCCUUUGCACCCCAUUAUUUCUAUCUCUACUUUGCACAUUCUUCCACUGCAAAAUCUACCAUUCCAGUGUUUUACUUGCUAUAUUGUAUUUACUUCGCCACCAAGGCCUUUUUUUUGCCUUUACCUCCCUUAUCUCACCUCAUUUGCUCACAUCGUAUAUAGACUUAUUUUUCUACUGUAUUAUUGACUAAAUGUUUGUUUUAUUCCAUGUGUAACUCUGUUGUUGUAUGUGUCGAACUGCUUUGCUUUAUCUUGGUCAGGUCGCAAUUGUAAGUGAGAACUUGUUCUCAACUUGCCUACCUGGUUAAAUAAAUAAAGGUGAAAUAAAAAAUAUAUACAUUUAAAAAGGCUGGGAAUUUCAAUACAAUCAAACUGGCAAGGACAAUGAUCACAAAUCAGUCAAAACCUGGCGAAUAGAGUAGCAGAUCUAUUUAUGUAGCUAUUUGUUUAGGAAGUUGAAAACACAUUAUCAACAGAUGUAUAUCAACAGAUUUUCAUUGGAUUUCAUGUUGCUAAAAUGCUGUCAGAUCCACUUUAGACAGUGUCUCAGAUCUAGGUUGUGCCUUUAGAUUUAGAGAAAAUGAAUAGCAAAGAAGGUGUCUUCACUUCUCUCAUUGAUUUAUCAAACCCCUGUCUGGUCUGUAGGGUCUGCUUCCCAAGCGCAAGAGAAUCGCGAUGUUGCGUCUCUGGGUUAAGAAACUCUGUGACCUAACCUUCCAUCACAGUCGCCUUAGUUCCCCCGCGGUCCCGAUAGCGUGAUAUUUCAAUUCAAUUCAUUUCAAUUCAAGGGCCUUUAUUGUCAUGGGAAACGUGUUAACAUUGCCAAAGCAAUGUCACCAUCUCAGCUGUCCAUCAAAGCCCUUUAGCUUCAGCCAAUCAGUGUGCCCACAUGCACAUCUGGACUUGGACCCCUCCCACCCCAUGUCAGAGUGUUUUAGUCCGAGGAAGAGGAAAGUUUUGGCCUGGAAGAUUGUGCGUACAUCUAAGAAAAAAGUACAUUCCUAUUGUAACCGAAGAUCCUGCAUGUGUGUGUUAAUUAUGUGUGGUGGUGAUGAAGAAAAAUACAAGUCUUGGACUGUUCCUGACAGAUAGCAUGUAGCGAGUCAGAACAUCUAGAAACAAGCAUGAAGUAAGCCUACAUCUACAAGCAUUAAGUAGGCCUACAUCUACAAGCAUUAAGUAGACCUACAUCUACAAGCCUUAAGUAGGCCUACAUCUACAAGCAUUAAGUAGGCCUACAUCUACAAGCAUUAAGUAGAC
This is a long non-coding RNA of Oncorhynchus tshawytscha (Chinook salmon), 3605 nucleotides long. The record is from Ensembl. Lineage: Eukaryota; Metazoa; Chordata; Actinopteri; Salmoniformes; Salmonidae.